CUUAACGCGAAGAACCUUACCUACUCUUGACAUCCAGAGAACUUUCCAGAGAUGGAUUGGUGCCUUCGGGAACUCUGAGACAGGUGCUGCAUGGCUGUCGUCAGCUCGUGUUGUGAAAUGUUGGGUUAAGUCCCGCAACGAGCGCAACCCUUAUCCUUUGUUGCCAGCGGUUCGGCCGGGAACUCAAAGGAGACUGCCAGUGAUAAACUGGAGGAAGGUGGGGAUGACGUCAAGUCAUCAUGGCCCCUACGAGUAGGGCUACACACGUGCUACAAUGGCGUAUACAAAGAGAAGCGACCUCGCGAGAGCAAGCGGACCUCAUAAAGUACGUCGUAGUCCGGAUUGGAGUCUGCAACUCGACUCCAUGAAGUCGGAAUCGCUAGUAAUCGUAGAUCAGAAUGCUACGGUGAAUACGUUCCCGGGCCUUGUACACACCGAAG
Molecule: ribosomal RNA, 440 nt
Filed under: uncultured bacterium
Lineage: Bacteria
Description: bacterial SSU rRNA
Rfam family: Bacterial small subunit ribosomal RNA
Source: RNAcentral